Molecule: non-coding RNA, 54 nt
Organism: Salmo salar (Atlantic salmon)
Lineage: Eukaryota; Metazoa; Chordata; Actinopteri; Salmoniformes; Salmonidae
Source: Rfam
UGCAUUCAUUACCGUAAGUUGCUCUGGAUAAGAGCGUCUGCUAAAUGACUAGAG